CAGAAAAUAGUUUAAAUAAAAAUAUAAACUUUGGAAGUUUAAGAUAAAUAUAAUUCUUUUUCUGA
Molecule: transfer RNA, 65 nt
Filed under: Tettigades undata
Lineage: Eukaryota; Metazoa; Arthropoda; Insecta; Hemiptera; Cicadidae
Description: tRNA-Pro
Source: RNAcentral